This 500-nucleotide ribosomal RNA is filed under the name uncultured Actinomycetes bacterium. RNAcentral's name for it is "bacterial SSU rRNA". It matches the Rfam family "Bacterial small subunit ribosomal RNA", at positions 382 to 896 of the family's 1533-position model. The record is from RNAcentral. Lineage: Bacteria; Bacillati; Actinomycetota; Actinomycetes.
CCUGAUGCAGCAACGCCGCGUGCGGGAAGAAGGCCCUAGGGUUGUAAACCGCUUCAGCAGGGAAGAAAAUGACGGUACCUGCAGAAGAAGGUGCGGCCAACUACGUGCCAGCAGCCGCGGUGACACGUAGGCACCAAGCGUUGUCCGGAUUUAUUGGGCGUAAAGAGCUCGUAGGCGGUUCAGUAAGUCGGGUGUGAAAAACUCUGGGCUCAACCCAGAGAGGCCACCCGAUACUGCUGUGACUUGAGUACGGUAGGGGAGUGGGGAAUUCCUGGUGUAGCGGUGAAAUGCGCAGAUAUCAGGAGGAACACCAGUGGCGAAGGCGCCACUCUGGGCCGUAACUGACGCUGAGGAGCGAAAGCAUGGGUAGCAAACAGGAUUAGAUACCCUGGUAGUCCAUGCCGUAAACGUUGGGCACUAGGUGUGGGUCUCAACCAACGAGAUCCGCGCCGUCGCUAACGCAUUAAGUGCCCCGCCUGGGGAGUACGGUCGCAAGACUA